CGAUGAUCCGAAUUGCCCUACAUCGCCGCUUCCUGAUCAUCCUAACAACCAAGUGUAUUACGAGUAUGAGAGCGACAGUGAUGGAGAGUGCCCGCCUACCCCGGAGCCGGCCACGUUAGAAUCAGAAGACUACAUCGAUGGUGAUGAGGCGUUCUCACCCUAUCUGCGAAGUUGCCCGGGGUAUGCAAAUAUCGCGUUGGAGCACUACAACACCCAAAA
This is a long non-coding RNA of Lolium rigidum, 219 nucleotides long. RefSeq lists it as uncharacterized. The record is from RefSeq and is a predicted model, not a curated record. The transcript has 2 exons. NCBI's taxonomy places the organism in Eukaryota, Viridiplantae, Streptophyta, Magnoliopsida, Poales, Poaceae.